RNAcentral lists this ribosomal RNA (520 nucleotides) under uncultured Glomus. RNAcentral describes it as "SSU rRNA". It matches the Rfam family "Eukaryotic small subunit ribosomal RNA", at positions 569 to 1090 of the family's 1831-position model. The record is from RNAcentral. Lineage: Eukaryota; Fungi; Glomeromycota; Glomeromycetes; Glomerales; Glomeraceae.
AGCAGCCGCGGUAAUUCCAGCUCCAAUAGCGUAUAUUAAAGUUGUUGCAGUUAAAAAGCUCGUAGUUGAAUUUCGGGGUCAGUAGGCUGGUCAUGCCACUGGUAUGUACUGGUUCCACUGAUUCCUCCUUCCUGAUGAACCGUAAUGCCAUUAAUUUGGUGUUGCGGGGAAUCUGGACUGUUACUUUGAAAAAAUUAGAGUGUUUAAAGCAGGCUAACGCUUGAAUACAUUAGCAUGGAAUAAUGAAAUAGGACGUUUGAUUCUAUUUUGUUGGUUUCUAGGAUCGACGUAAUGAUUAAUAGGGAUAGUUGGGGGCAUUAGUAUUCAAUUGUCAGAGGUGAAAUUCUUGGAUUUAUUGAAGACUAACUACUGCGAAAGCAUUUGCCAAGGAUGUUUUCAUUAAUCAAGAACGAAAGUUAGGGGGUCGAAGACGAUCAGAUACCGUCGUAGUCUUAACCAUAAACUAUGCCGACUAGGGAUCGGAUGAUGUUAAUUUUUUAAUGACUCAUUCGGCGCCUUA